RNAcentral lists this unclassified non-coding RNA (348 nucleotides) under soil metagenome. RNAcentral describes it as "partial contains 5.8S ribosomal RNA, internal transcribed spacer 2, and large subunit ribosomal RNA". The stretch from base 1 to 120 matches the Rfam family "5.8S ribosomal RNA", at positions 35 to 154 of the family's 154-position model. The record is from RNAcentral.
GAUGAAGAACGUAGCGAAAUGCGAUAAUUAAUGUGAAUUGCAGAAUUCAGUGAAUCAUCGAGUCUUUGAACGCACAUUGCGCCCCCUGGUAUUCCGGGGGGCAUGCCUGUCCGAGCGUCAUUGCUGCCCUCAAGCACGGCUUGUGUGUUGGGCCCCCGUCCCCGGUUUCCCCCGGGGACGGGCCCGAAAGGCAGCGGCGGCACCGCGUCCGGUCCUCGAGCGUAUGGGGCUUUGUCACCCGCUCUGUAGGCCCGGCCGGCGCCAGCCGACACCCAACUUUAUUUCUAAGGUUGACCUCGGAUCAGGUAGGGAUACCCGCUGAACUUAAGCAUAUCAAUAAGCGGAGGA